This is a long non-coding RNA of Gallus gallus (chicken), 2899 nucleotides long. RefSeq lists it as uncharacterized. Lineage: Eukaryota; Metazoa; Chordata; Aves; Galliformes; Phasianidae. The record is from RefSeq and is a predicted model, not a curated record. The transcript has 2 exons.
GAAAAAGCAGAGCCGAGUAUUAUGAAAGCAAAAUGACUGCUGUCUACCUUAAUUAUGCACUAUAACAAUCCACUGUGUGCAGCAGUCCCACUGAAGUGGAUCACUGAACUGCUAAACUAUGCAAGUCUACGCCUAAGAUCUCUUAGCUACAAUGGUGCAUUUGCCUAUUGAGUGUUUAGAGCAGAGAGAUGAAAUCUACAUGUGAAAACUACUCAUCACUUUGAAGUUCCUGUGUUGGCAUGGAACUUGAGAUACUACCUUUACAAGAUAGUUGUUUAAAAGGCAGUGCUUACCAGGUGGCCCAGGAAGGAUGCACUGUUCAUAAAUUUUAAUAAACAUGUUAAGAAGAUGUGUGUAAAACACAACUGUGGAAUAUCAGCAAGAGAACACUAGCACAUUUAACACAGGAAGAAAUGAUAUAUUUAAUUUACAGUUUAGCCUAUAGUCACAUGGAUCUAAGUGACUGAGUUAUUUGGCGUGGUGCACUCAUUAACUAAUCCAUUACUGCCUGCAAAGGUUGGCCCCAUGACGCUCAAGGCUGAAAUGCUUAUCCAGACACGGCCUGAGGUAACACCAGAGCACCAUUACCAGCAGCUACAGGAUGGUAUCUCUCAUUGGUCAAGAGAUGAGUCAACACAGGCAGGCAGGAAAGGGAGCAAACCAGACUCACAGACACUCCAGAGGCUGUUCUUUCAACACAGCAUAGAUGCAGUCACCCACUUCAGCCAAAUUUUGAUCAGGUGAUCAUCAAGAAUCCUUAUGAGCCUGCUCUGAAGGCCACUGAACUCACGGACAGACUUUGCAUUCACUUCAGAGGCCUCAGAUCAAGCUGUUCUGCAUUAAAAAUAAAUGAAGAGAAAUCUAAAACAAAUGUCAUCGGCCAAGUGAUUCUUCACACAGAAGACACUGACUGAAUAUAAACAAUGGAAUUAUGGACAGACAGUAAUAUAUAGGAAAAAAAAAACAACACAAUUUUAAAUAUUCUUUUAAAACAAGCUAAAUAUUCCCUACUGGAUCCAAGACUGGCAUUUCUGUGGUCCUUCCUGAAGUGUUCUAGGCUACCUGAAGCAGACUUUUCUGUGUAGACUUUUCUUUCCUGGCAUGAUAAUGUGUGUUGAAGGGAAACGGGAAUUUGGAAAGGUCUCAAGGACCCAUAAACAGCUAUCAGAAGAUAAAGCUAUGCUGUCAGUAGGGACAUGCCCUCAUUGUGGUUUCAAGACAGGGAGGUAAUAACAAGGAUGGAGAAACGUAGAUUCUGUAGCAGGAUGGUCUGGAAUGCAAGAGUAUUCCUUUCUUUUACUGCUUAACUCUGUAAGGUCAAAGUCCUGUUGGAAAAAUCAGAAAUCACUACCAUUUCUUUUCUUUUCCUUUCCUUUCUGUUGCUUCUCUUCUAUGAAGAAAUGUUCACAGUAAUAAAAAUCAACACCAUCUCUGUCAUCAUGCGCACCACUGAAUACUAACAGUCCAAGAGGGACACAGUGGUACAGUUCUUGAGUUCAUCAGUCUUUAAGGGGAAGCAGCACUGUCAAUUUCUAAUCCUGGAGGCCACUACAUAAAUUCUCACUGAAAAUCCCAACAUGCCUAUUAACAAUGAAUGCUGAAGACUGUCUUAUUUAGAAAGUCCUGUCACUCUUUCUAUAUCUACAAAGCAGCAAAUGGUCCAGCGUGUCUGUUGGUAAUUCCCAUGGGAAAUCUGGUCUGAUGAAAUCUAUUUAUUUGUUGUAUUAAGCAGGCAACACACUGCAAAUUGAGAACCUGUUUGCUGCCGAGGGUGGCAACUGCUGUAACAAUAGGAAUGCUACUGUAUUCCUGAUACUGUAUGCUGAUGUAGGAAGCACACUCAGCCCAGGACUCGGGCAGAAAGCUUUCUGUGUGACCCCUGACAUUGUCACUUCUCUGAAUUUCAGUUACAGUUACCCACUAGGACUUAGGCUUCAAAGACUUAAAAUUAUGUCACUUAGCCCCCAUUGAAUUCAGUAGGAUUAAUGAUUUAACCAAAGUUAAGCACAUGCUUAAGUCUUUGCUAGGUCAGAGCUUAAAAUACCACUGUUAUCAGUACUGUCUAAGUAUCUUCAAGGAUAUUUUAAAGAGAGCCCUUAUGAACUAUAGGAAGUCUUCUAUUAACUUGAAUGAACUUUUAGCUCACGAUUUCUGUGCAAAAAAGCCUUUUUCCUUGAUUAAUAGCUUAUAAGUCUUCUAAAUCUCCUCAGCUUCCACUUAAAGAGCUAUAAAUAACAAAAUUAUACUAACAUGCAGGUUUUUUUGUAGCAUUAGAUAAUCAGAGGGGAUUCCCUGAUACCAACAUAUCCUACUACCCACUUGGUAUGCAUUCCUUAAAAGUGCAACAGUGAUUUGACAGAGAGCAAAACAAAUUUUCCUAUAAGAAUUAAUUUAAGGGUGUUGGGUGGGAUGUGAGCUGAAGAAUUACACCGUUUAAAUUUACCCAAGGACAGUAUGUUACAACAUAUGAUCUUGCUGAUUCAUAUCCCAGUAUCUCGGUCUAAAAAAUAAUUAAAAAAAAAAAUAGUAGGAAGAAUUUUCCAUGGUUUUUUUUUUUCAUGUUUUUAUGUGAAGCAUCAGUAGUGAUCUGGCAUACCAGAGCUUGAAGAUGACAAGGAUGAUAGAAGACUGCUGGUUCCAGCAGCAAUCUUGCCUGUGAGAAGAGAGAGAAAUGGGCUCCAAAUGUUCAUGUAAGAAGCAUGCCCGGUGAAGGCAUCCAAUUGGUAACAGCACAAAUGAAUAACAUUGAAAAUCACAGACUGCCUUCCAGCAGAACCUCCGGAGCUUGGAAGAUCAUCAAGGCCAUUGGGGAUGGAAUGACCUGAGCAGAAGCCACAAAAGAAGAGCUUUCUGGUAAUGUUCCAGGAACAGAAACAAGAGUUUCAGAAGUUUGUGAAAA